Non-coding RNA from Potamilus streckersoni, 67 nucleotides. NCBI's taxonomy places the organism in Eukaryota, Metazoa, Mollusca, Bivalvia, Unionida, Unionidae. The record is from the annotation of a GenBank genome assembly.
GUGGCCUAGUGGUAAGAUUGUCGGCCUCAGAUGCAGAAGGUCGCUGGUUCAUACCCCAGCUGAGUCA